CUGGUUUUCUCAUUGGUCAUCUGG
Molecule: microRNA, 24 nt
Filed under: Eisenia fetida (common brandling worm)
Lineage: Eukaryota; Metazoa; Annelida; Clitellata; Crassiclitellata; Lumbricidae
Description: Efe-Bantam-P7_5p* (star (passenger))
Source: RNAcentral